Molecule: long non-coding RNA, 890 nt
Organism: Diorhabda sublineata
Lineage: Eukaryota; Metazoa; Arthropoda; Insecta; Coleoptera; Chrysomelidae
Exons: 2
Source: RefSeq, a predicted model, not a curated record
ACGAAUUGUUCUAUUGCGAAAUAACGAUAAGUUUCUAUUUCAUCUAUUUCUAAAUGAGUUAUUAUUUUCUGUAAAUCGUUAAAACGUGAACUUAGUAUUAAUUGGUUAUCGGCUAGUAUUUUGGAAUUGUUUUCAAAGUUGUUACGGAUGAGGAGGGGGGUACUUCAUCUUGAAUAAGAGAUUUCAACUUGUUCUGAUUGUUAAAUAAGAUGUAAUAGCUUCAUCGCAACGUUUUGCACCAUUGUGGUCUAAAUUUCCGGUUAUAAUCUUUAUUGCAGAUCGUAAUCCGUCGAAUAAGGAUCUUUUUGAUCGAUUAUCCCAAAAUGGAUUUAAAUGUUUCAAAUAUUUUAUGUUCAAUUAGUUUUGUAAUGUGAUAAGAGUUUUGAAAAUGAGUAGUGAAAUUACAAAAUUACAAAAUUUAGGAGAUCUUGGUAAUAAUUUAUAGAGAUUAUUAUACUGCUAUUUUCAGGUAGAGCUGGGAGUUCUGUUGGGAGAACUGUUUUAUUAUUAAACUCGGUGCCUUUAUCAACUAUUAUCAAUUGAGGAAUGCCAAAGAAACGAAAUAUUUUAUAAUUGCUUCACUUAUAAUUACUGUGGGUUUUCCUGAAAUGAAUAUCACCUGUGCAAAUUUUGUAAAAGCAUCAGUUAAAGUUAAAUAAUUCUUUCCAUCAAAACAAAAAACAUACAUAUGAAUAAUUUGGAAGGGUUUGGUGGCUGUUUCAGUCAACAUAAGAGGCACAUAACAAUUAUGUCUUGAAUAUUCAUUUUUAUGACAAUUACUACAAUUGUUAAUAUAGUUUGUGAUUUUGUUUUCCAUAUUUUUCAAAUAAUUAAGUUAACGUAAUUGUUCUAAGGUCUCAUGAGUUCCUCUGUGAUUAUUUUUACCUCCA